UAUAUAUAUAUAUAUAUAAAGUUCCUCUGUCUUCUCCAGUGCUACUCAGAACCAAGAGGCUGGUUUGAGUGCUGUCAAUCACAAUUUACUGUUGUGCUGUUCAUUCCCCCUCGCAAUACCCCUCCUUGCUUUAUGCUAAGCUGUAGCUAGCAAAGCCCUUCAUAAAAGGGGCACAGACCAACAGACGGUGGCUGUUAUCACUAUAAUGGCCACUGAUGAUGGCAGACAAACGGUUUUCCUGUAACAGUGAGUUGUUUCUGUGCCAUUAGCUCAGCUAGUACAUGAGCUUGAUGACAGUGCUAAGACACUCCUUUUGGCUCUCAUUGGCUGUGCAUUUCUUGAAACCUAAAUAGCAGCACAGGGACGAGAUAGAGAAUAUUGAUCUUUUCACAGAUCAUCUGUCUCAUAAGAUUGCUGUCACAACAUGGUGAGGUUGCCUUUUGCCAGCCACAUAGAAAUGACAUCAAUGCCAUGACUGAAUGUGUGACUGACUACAUAAACUUCUGUGUGGACAGCACAAUCCCCACCAGAACAGCGAGAUGCUUCCAGAAUAACAAACCCUGGGCCACCAGUGAACUAAUGGAACUGUUAAGCAAGAAAAAAGAGCCUUUAGGGAAUGAGACAGGGAGUUAUUGAGGAGAAUACAGAAGCAAGUCAAAGACAAAAUUACAGACAGAAAGGAUAAGUACAAGAAGAAGCUGGAGAAUAAACUGUAGAGGAACAAUAUCUUCAUCCAAAUCGGGAAAUGCUGUUCAUCCCUCUCAGAAGUCAGGUGAAGAGGCACCGGAACAAGGCAACAGGUCCAGACGGUGUCAGCCCCAAAGUCCUGAAGGCCUCAAGCUCCAAAGCAGCUCUGUGAGAUUCUCCAACAUCUCUUCAACCUUAGCCUGACCCCAGAGAGGGUUCCAUUGUUGUGGAAAACAACCUGCUUGGUUUCCGUACCGAAGAAAACUCACCCAUCAGUCAUCAGUGACUAUAGACCUGUUGCCCUGACAUCUCACCUCAUAAAGGUUGUGGGGACACUCCUCACCUGAUUAAGCAGAUAAGCACAUAUUAGGACUGGUGUGAAGUUGGAGUUGAAGACGCCAUCAUACACCUGCUUCAACAAACCUACUGUGAUCUGGACAAAGUAGGCAGCAAUGUGAGGAUCAAGUUCUUUGAUUUCUCCAGUGCAUUUAGCACAAUUCAGCUUGAUUUGCUUUGUCAGAAACUCCAGAAGACACAGGUGAAGGCCUCAAUCACCUGAAUUUAUGGCCUCUUUUCCACUGGCUCUACUGCAGCAGCCCUGCUCUACUUGGCCUGGCUUGGCUCGGCUCUACUACGAAGUAACCACGUUUCCACAGACCUGGCUCGGUUUGUAGAGGAGCAACGCCUCCUGGCGGUGGGGGGUAUAGAGCCCCACCUCCAGGCAAAAUGUGCUGUGCUUCAUUACUGUGCGACCAAACGGAAGUUGUUAUUUUUCCUAGACAAAAGAAGAAAGAGCUGAGCUAUUUUUUACAGCCUGAUUGUGAUUUUUUUGAGAUUUCAAGAAAAGGCACAGUGUGAGGAAUGCUGUGAAUAUGAAGGACAGCUGAUUUCCACCUUGCAGCUGGAAGAAAUCAGGUGGCCCAGAAGUUGCAAGAAAGGAUAUCGCCACUUUCUGUAUUAUGUAACCCGCAAUUAGUAAAGGACUUUUAUUUUUGCGGGCCCACUUCCCGUGUUGCCCAAACUCUGCUAACUUAUUUAAAGCAGAGUUUGGGCCUCCAGUGCACAGUAAAAGAUCCUCACCUGUUCCACUGUGAUUGUGGCUUGCUGUUGGCGUCUUCCUCAAGAAUUCCUCCAAAAAUCUUUCAACCUAUUGAUUUGAUUGCUGGAAUCACUGGCAUUGUUUACCUGGACUGUCACCGGGAUUCUGUUAGUGCUGAUUGUGGCUAAGUACGUCCCACUCUCUUCAAAAAGGUCGGGUUUUUUUUUUCCCCUGUCGGAUCAGAUCCUCAUCUGGAUCGAAAGAUGGCGAGCUAAGAAUGGACUAUGGACUUUAUGAUUUGGAAAUCAAUUUAUUGAGUCAAUUCUCAUGUGUCUCAUUGUGUUGUUGUAAUUGUAUGGUUUUUUUAAAUUCAAAUCACUUAAUAUAUAUUCACCAAAACUAAAAGCACUGCCUCCUGUUUUUUUCACACCUCAGGCUCCUUAAAAGGCCACUCUUCUGAUGCUGCUUAUGUAGCCGCAGUUAGCUGCCUAGCCCAUAACUGUUACCAUUACAACUACUUUAAAACUUGUAGUGUCGAAUAUACAUGCGCUAUUUUUAGCUAGGGUGUUGCGAAUAACUUUAGUAUCGAAAUUGUCAUAUGUUGGCACGGUACAUUCAUAAUAUAUUCCAGUGGGCUUUCAGAUGUUGGUAAACUGUCACUGUCAUCUGACACCAUAAGCGUGAUUAUUCGUGCAGUCCUCUGUGUUGUAAGAUGUCUCAUCUUAUCAUGUCCAUCUUCCUGACUGCCAGUCAGUAUUUACCUUCAAGAUGUCCAGAGACCUCCACCUUUCUGAAGCAGGGAUCACAUGUGUCCAUGUGUCCAAUGAGUUAAUAAAACAUUUGCCAUUAAGAAAAUUUAGCUGAUGUUCUUACAGAGUUGAACUGCAUAAA
Long non-coding RNA from Xiphophorus couchianus (Monterrey platyfish), 2617 nucleotides. RefSeq lists it as uncharacterized. The transcript has 3 exons. The record is from RefSeq and is a predicted model, not a curated record. Lineage: Eukaryota; Metazoa; Chordata; Actinopteri; Cyprinodontiformes; Poeciliidae.